Molecule: ribosomal RNA, 262 nt
Filed under: uncultured bacterium
Lineage: Bacteria
Description: partial 16S ribosomal RNA
Rfam family: Bacterial small subunit ribosomal RNA
Source: RNAcentral
GUCCACGCCGUAAACGAUGUCUACUAGCCGUUGGGUCCUUGAGGCCUUAGUGGCGCAGCUAACGCACUAAGUAGACCGCCUGGGGAGUACGGUCGCAAGAUUAAAACUCAAAUGAAUUGACGGGGGCCCGCACAAGCGGUGGAGCAUGUGGUUUAAUUCGACGCAACGCGAAGAACCUUACCAGGUCUUGACAUCUAGAGAAUUUGCCAGAGAUGGCUUAGUGCCUUCGGGAGCUCUAAGACAGGUGCUGCAUGGCUGUCGU